Molecule: non-coding RNA, 133 nt
Filed under: Arthrobacter sp.
Lineage: Bacteria; Bacillati; Actinomycetota; Actinomycetes; Micrococcales; Micrococcaceae
Also listed under: 1 other name
Description: SAM-IV sequence
Rfam family: SAM (S-adenosyl methionine) riboswitch aptamer
About the family: SAM-IV is a mRNA element that regulates gene expression via direct sensing of S-adenosylmethionine (SAM or AdoMet).
Source: RNAcentral
CUUCACGAGACAUGGCCUCCGCGCCCGCAGGGUGUGGAAAAGCUCCGACUGGCCAUGCACCAACCCCAAUGUUCGGCGGGUGGUUCGGAUGACGAAGCGGCCCGCGUCCAACCGGAGCGGGCAAGGACACUCA